Molecule: ribosomal RNA, 740 nt
Filed under: Heteroradulum deglubens
Lineage: Eukaryota; Fungi; Basidiomycota; Agaricomycetes; Auriculariales; Auriculariaceae
Description: eukaryotic LSU rRNA
Rfam family: Eukaryotic large subunit ribosomal RNA
Source: RNAcentral
GCGGUCUACNGCCGUCCGAGUUGUAAUCUAGAGAGGUGUUUUCCGUGCCGGACCGUGUACAAGUCCCUUGGAACAGGGCGUCAUAGAGGGUGAGAAUCCCGUCCAUGACACGGACUACCGGUGCUCUGUGAUACACCUUCGAAGAGUCGAGUUGUUUGGGAAUGCAGCUCAAAAUGGGUGGUAAAUUCCAUCUAAAGCUAAAUACAGGCGAGAGACCGAUAGCGAACAAGUACCGUGAGGGAAAGAUGAAAAGAACUUUGGAAAGAGAGUUAAACAGUACGUGAAAUUGUUGAAAGGGAAACGCUUGAAGUCAGUCGCGUCUGUCAGGACUCAGCCUUGCUUCUGCAUGGUGCAUUUCCUGGUGGAUGGGCCAGCAUCGAUUUUGGUCGCCGGAAAAGGGCGGGAGGAAUGUGGCAGCUUGCUGUGUUAUAGCCUCCUGUCGUACACGGUGGUUGGGAUCGAGGACUGCAGCACGCCUUUGGUCGGGGUUCGCCCACGCCACGUGCUUAGGAUGCUGGCGUAAUGGCUUUAAGCGACCCGUCUUGAAACACGGACCAAGGAGUCUAACAUGCCUGCGAGUGUUUGGGCGUUAAACCCAGGCGCGUAAUGAAAGUGAAAAGUUGGGACUCUUUAGUGAGGCACCGACGCCCGAUCCUGACGUUCUCUGACGGAUUUGAGGUAGAGCAUGUAUGUUGGGACCCGAAAGAUUUCACUAUGCCUGAAUAGGGUGAAGCCAGAGG